This is a long non-coding RNA of Symphalangus syndactylus (siamang), 1495 nucleotides long. RefSeq lists it as uncharacterized. Lineage: Eukaryota; Metazoa; Chordata; Mammalia; Primates; Hylobatidae. The record is from RefSeq and is a predicted model, not a curated record.
CCGCCGCCAGCCGCCGGGUAAAGUCUUAGGUUCAGGGAACAAAGCCUGGCUUGGUAGGGAGCUUUUCGCUCUUUCGCUCCGUGCUGCUUUGCCUGCUUUCUUUUUCGUUUUACGGCUCUGGGUCGUCGCUCACGAGCCCUCCCUCUGCCCGCCCUCCCGUCUCGGGCCCCGGGUCCCCGAGCCUCCAGCCCCCUCCGCCAAGUCUUCGUCUCUGGGUGGAUUCUUUAGCCCCAGGGAAACUUGGGAGUGGAUACCGGGGAAAGGGGUGCUAGGAGGAAUGGGAGCGACGCGGGUCGUUCGCCCCCGCCCCACCCCGUGUCUGGGGGUCUUUUUGGAUGGCCGCCCUCGGGCCGUUUCCUCGGUAGGCGCUCUCACACGCAGACAUUUGUUCAUUCAACAGAUAUUUAUUAAACGCCCGUUGCCAGUCGCUGGGAUCGAGUAGAGAGCAAAACAUAUUCCUGCCCUCGGGGAGCUUCCUGUCGGGUUCACAGACACACACGCACGCACAGAGACUCAGAGCCCCAGAGACACACACCGAGGCACCCACAGACACGAGCUAUCUCCCAGCUUCAGUCACACCACUGACCCUCCCAGAGACACGAACCUCCGCUCCAGCCCUGCGGGUGCGCUUAGAGACCCACGAGGGUUAGAGACCCGCAACCACGAGGUGCUCACGAACACCAGUUACACUUGACCUCUAGGCACGCACACAGACACACAAGGUAACUCACACGCAGCACUCCAGAGAACUAAAGUCCCUGCAGUUGGGUCUGGGGGAGAAGUGAGGGGCGUCGGCCCAAAGUCUUCUUCCCAAGACCUGUGUGGGCAAGCGGGGAGGUGAGAUCUGACCCCCAAAAACUUCCUAAAGGGGAGACUUUCGUGGGGACUAAAGGUCACCCGCCCCCCACAGCGGGAGUUCGGGUGGCGUAGGGGAGAAGGCAGCCCUGGGGGCUUCAACGACACUUCAAAGACCUCGCGGCCGGGAACGCUUCCUGCGGGGGAGGGGCAAACAGAGAGGAGAUGGGAAGACGGGCCGGGGAACUGGGGGUGGAGGAGGCCGCCUCCCCUUCGGCGCACUGCCCCCUGGCAGACUCUUCCGCCGGGUCCGCCUCCUUUUCACCAGCACCUGUUCAACCGGAACAUCAAGGGCCUGGAGCCCGCCGCGGCCCCCCGUCGGCUUUUUAGUACCUUUCAUCCGGGAAGGGAGGGAAUCUCGGAGGGCUGCCGGGACGAAGAGGCUACAUCUACACAGGGCGGUGUAGGGGAAGCCCGCCUCUUCGACCUCCGUGUCUGGGAGUAGGGGCCGAGAGCCAGAUUAUUGCGAUAACCGGAAUCCCGGCGAGGACGGCCGCGCUCCGAUUCCUUGGUCAAAUUUGUGAAUUUCGCUAACAGUUAAAGUUAAACAAGACAGAGGAGAAACUGCACUUAGGGGUUUCUAACGAAUUACCUUUACUAGCAAGAAUAAAACUGCAAGAAAAAUGUCAGUCCUAAAUCA